UAAAAGGUUUUUUUUAAAACCACUGGAGAAAAUGUGAAAUAACACAG
Non-coding RNA from Picea glauca (white spruce), 47 nucleotides. The record is from Rfam. Lineage: Eukaryota; Viridiplantae; Streptophyta; Pinopsida; Pinales; Pinaceae.